CUACCCACACUUGGAUAACUGUGGUAAUUCUAGAGCUAAUACAUGACACGUAAGCCCCGAGAAGGCGCACGUUCGCGUGCCGUCAUCCAAGGGCGCAUUUAUUAGAACAAGACCAACGCUAAAACUAGCCUGGUGACUCUGGAUAACUUUAGACGAUCGCACACGGACGGUGCCUCGCGCACUUCCAGCGACGUAUCCUUUAAAUGUCUGCCCUAUCAAGUACGAUGGUAAGCGACGAGCUAACCAUGCUGAUGACGGGUAACGGAGAAUCAGGGUUCGAUUCCGGAGAGGGAGCCUGAGAAACGGCUACCACAUCUAAGGGAGGCAGCAGGCGCGCAAAUUACCCACUCCUUGAGCGGGGAGGUAGUGACAAGAAAUAACAAUACGGGACUCUAUCGAGGCUCCGUAAUUGGAAUGAGAACAUUUCAAAUCCUUUAGCGAGGAUCCAUUGGAGGGCAAGUCUGGUGCCAGCAGCCGCGGUAAUUCCAGCUCCAAUAGCGUAUAUUAAAGUUGUUGCAGUUAAAAAGCUCGUAGUUGGAUCUCGGGCGUUUCCCUACGACUGUGUGGUUGUUGGGCACAUGUGGCGUCUGCCCGUCUCGUAUAGGCGGCGUCGUCCAACAACUGGCCGGUCGGCGCCGUUGUCUCGCGUGUUCUGGCCCGGGUUCCCUUAACCGGGCUGCUCGGGUCGACAUCGCACGGUUACUUUGAAAAAAUUAGAGUGUUUAAAGCAGGCAGGUAACGACCGCCUGAAUAAUGUUGCAUGGAAUAACGGAAGAAGACCUAUUCGGCUCCACGUUCUGUUGGCCUAAGGAGCACGAGGUAAUGAUCAACGGGGGCGGACGGGGGCAUUCGUAUUACGGCGCGAGAGGUGAAAUUCUAAGACCGUCGUAAGACGAACGAGAGCGAAAGCAUUUGCCAAGAACGCUUUCCUUAAUCAAGAACGAAAGUCAGAGGUUCGAAGACGAUUAGAUACCGUCGUAGUUCUGACCAUAAACGAUGCCACCUCGCAAUGAGUCGGCGUCAGUCUUUACGACUACUGCUCGCAGCUUCCGGGAAACCAAAGGUUUUGGGUUCCGGGGGAAGUAUGGUUGCAAAGCUGAAACUUAAAGGAAUUGACGGAAGAGCACCACAAGGAGUGGAUCCUGUGGCUUAAUUCGACUCAACACGCGUAAGCCAAUCGGGCCAAAACAUCUCUAGGAUUGACAGAUUGAGAGCUCUUUCUUGAUUAGGUGGGCGGUGGUGCAUGGCCGUUCUUAGUUGGUGGAGCGAUUUGUCUGGUUAAUUCCGAUAACGAACGAGACUCUAGACUGCUAAAUAGUCCGGUCACGUUGUUCGAGGAUUGUUUCGCGGCUAGCGUUGCGUACGUCUCCGUCGCGGGCGCGGCGUGGUCAUUCGUGCAUGCGUGCGCGCAUCUUUCGRGGUGUGUCGUUCGUGUGUUUCGGUGUCCGUGUCCGUGCUCGCGCGCGGGUCUGCGUGGCGUCCGCGUGCAUCCUGUGGCCGUGGCGGCGUCGCCCGUGUGCGCAUGGGCGGGCCGUCUUGACUUCUUAGAGUGACAAGCGACACAUAGUCGCGCGAGAUUGAGCAAUAACAGGUCUGUGAUGCCCUUAGAUGGUCCGAGCUGCACACGGGACACAAUGAAGGAAUCAGCGGGGAACUGUGCCGGGUCCGAAAGGUGCUCGGUAAACCCAUGAAUCUCCUUCGUGACUGGGAUCGGGGCUUGAAACUUUCCCCCGUGAACGAGGAAUUCCUUGUAAGCGCGAGCCACCAGCUCGCGUUGACUACGUCCCUGCUCUUUGUACACAC
RNAcentral lists this ribosomal RNA (1803 nucleotides) under Hypania invalida. RNAcentral describes it as "SSU rRNA". It matches the Rfam family "Eukaryotic small subunit ribosomal RNA", at positions 130 to 1689 of the family's 1831-position model. The record is from RNAcentral. Lineage: Eukaryota; Metazoa; Annelida; Polychaeta; Terebellida; Ampharetidae.